Molecule: ribosomal RNA, 309 nt
Filed under: Eremias arguta (steppe-runner)
Lineage: Eukaryota; Metazoa; Chordata; Lepidosauria; Squamata; Lacertidae
Description: partial 12S ribosomal RNA
Rfam family: Bacterial small subunit ribosomal RNA
Source: RNAcentral
CCGCCAGAGAACUACAAGUGAAAAACUUCAAACUCAAAGGACUUGGGGGUGUCCCAUAUCGACCUAGAGGAGCCUGUCCUAUAAUCGAUNCCCCCCGCUCUACCUAACCUCUACUAGCACCUCUCAGCCUAUAUACCGCCGUCGACAGUCUACCCCAUGAGGGUCUGAAAGUAGACAUAAUAGCCUACCCGCUAACACGUCAGGUCAGGGUGUAGCACAUGUUGAGGGAGAGAUUGGCUACAUUUUUUAUUUUAAAAAAAACGAAAUGCAACAUGAAACCUUGCUCGAAGGUGAAUUUAGUAGUAAGAU